This 961-nucleotide non-coding RNA is filed under the name Rhynchonycteris naso (proboscis bat). RNAcentral's name for it is "partial 12S ribosomal RNA". It matches the Rfam family "Bacterial small subunit ribosomal RNA". Lineage: Eukaryota; Metazoa; Chordata; Mammalia; Chiroptera; Emballonuridae. The record is from RNAcentral.
UACAGGUUUGGUCCUGGCCUUCCUAUUAGUUGUUAGCAGACUUACACAUGCAAGUAUCCGCCCCCCAGUGAGGAUGCCCUCUAAGUCAAUAUUAGAAAUAAAGGAGCGGGUAUCAGGCACGCCCCACGCAGCCCACAACACUUUGCUCAGCCACACCCCCACGGGAAACAGCAGUGAUAAAAAUUAAGCCAUAAACGAAAGUUCGACUAAGCCAUGCUAAUACAGGGUUGGUAAAUUUCGUGCCAGCCACCGCGGUCAUACGAUUAACCCGAAUUAAUAAUUAUCGGCGUAAGGCGUGUUUAAGGUUACACCCAAAAUAAAGUUAAGCUUAGACUAAGCCGUAAAAAGCCCUAGUCAUUGUAAAAUAACCUACGAAAGUGACUUUAAAAUCCUGAGCACACGGCAGCUAAGAUCCAAACUGGGAUUAGAUACCCCACUAUGCUUAGCCUCAAACCUAAGAAGUUAAAUCAACAAAACUGCUCGCCAGAGUACUACUAGCCAAAGCUUGAAACUCAAAGGACUUGGCGGUGCUUUACAUCCAUCUAGAGGAGCCUGUUCUGUAAUCGAUAAACCCCGGUAAACCUCACCAACUCUUGCCAAAUCAGCCUAUAUACCGCCAUCUUCAGCAAACCCUAAAAAGGACGCAAAGUAAGCAUAAUCAUAGAACAUAAAAACGUUAGGUCAAGGUGUAGCUUAUGAGUUGGAAAGAAAUGGGCUACAUUCCCUAAGCAAGGGCAUUAACCACAUACACGAACUCUGUGUUGAAACACAUAGAUAAAGGUGGAUUUAGCAGUAAAUCAAGAAUAGAGCGCUUGAUUGAAUAUAGGCCAUAAAGCACGCACACACCGCCCGUCACCCUCCUCAAGCAACACCAACAAAAACAACCUAAUAAGAAACCGCCCAUGUAAGAGGAGAUAAGUCGUAACAAGGUAAGUGUACUGGAAAGUGCACUUGGAAAACC